AUAAUCUCACAUAAUUGUACGUCUCAAAUAGUAGUGGAUUGCGUCUUCUCUCUACUCUCUCCUUACACGUAUCUACCAAGAUAAAUUUCCAAAAGCUCUCAUACCCAUCAAUAUUCAUUGACUGACAUACUGGUCGUCUCAAAACAGAACAAAUAUACUUAGUGUUAUUCCUGAUGCUGAUGGGUAGGUGUUUUCCUUCUCAAAGGCAGCUUGUGGAAAUUUGUUAAGAGAUGACACUAGGAAAAUUCUAAAAGGUUUUGCAUGCAACAUAGGCAGAAUUCUACCCAACAGUCCAAGAUGCACUUUGGGGGUGUGAUGUGGGGAUUACGUAUGGUGCUACCAGUUGGGGUAAUCAAGGAUCAUGGUGGAGAUGGACUUCCAAAGUGGCUUGGAACCAGCCCAUUCUUACCUUGAUAAUAUGUGGGUUAUAAGAUCUCAUAUGCAAGGUGCUUCCCAUAUCAAUUUUCAUUACAUAUAUUUGGAAGGUAAUAGAUGGGUGUAUUAGCCAAUAAUGGUCAUGAUGUAGACAAAAGUUUAAAUUUGCAGAAUCAUUUACUCCUUUCCCCAUUCCUUAUAUCCUCUUUUAUUAAGGGAUUUCCUAUUUGGGGUAGUUAUUCUCAAGUUUUUAGCUGAUUUCUGUUUUUUCUUUUUCUUUUUCUUUUUUCUGAGUUUUCU
RNAcentral lists this long non-coding RNA (675 nucleotides) under Glycine max (soybean). RNAcentral describes it as "long non-coding RNA (GMAX_LNC001463)". Lineage: Eukaryota; Viridiplantae; Streptophyta; Magnoliopsida; Fabales; Fabaceae. The record is from RNAcentral.